Molecule: transfer RNA, 90 nt
Filed under: Flavobacteriales bacterium
Lineage: Bacteria; Pseudomonadati; Bacteroidota; Flavobacteriia; Flavobacteriales
Description: tRNA-Ser
Rfam family: tRNA
About the family: Transfer RNA (tRNA) molecules are approximately 80 nucleotides in length. Their secondary structure includes four short double-helical elements and three loops (D, anti-codon, and T loops).
Source: RNAcentral
GGAGAGUUGGCAGAGUGGUCGAAUGCGAUGGUCUUGAAAACCAUUGUACCUUCACGGGUACCGGGGGUUCGAAUCCCUCACUCUCCGCAA